This 270-nucleotide long non-coding RNA is filed under the name Gossypium barbadense (sea-island cotton). RNAcentral describes it as "long non-coding RNA (GBAR_LNC015409)". The record is from RNAcentral. Lineage: Eukaryota; Viridiplantae; Streptophyta; Magnoliopsida; Malvales; Malvaceae.
UUGGAGUAUUUUACCCUUGACAUUUGUAUUCAAGGAAUGAACUUGGGUCUACAUUAUAUUUUUCAAGGCAUCAAGCUUAAAACCUUUAAGGAGCUAACUACUUGUGUGCAUGAUAUGUAGUUAAGUAUGACAGCUUUUGGAAAUCAAGAUUUUCCAAUCAAAGAGAGGUAAGAAGAAGCAAGAAACCUGCAAAUGAGGCAAGACAAUUCCCAACCAGGGAGAAAGCAAACAAUCUAUGACUGCGAGUUCCAAGCCUUUGAAGGUGUCUCC